RNAcentral lists this small RNA (109 nucleotides) under Aliivibrio wodanis. RNAcentral describes it as "alpha operon ribosome binding site". It matches the Rfam family "Alpha operon ribosome binding site". From Rfam's summary of the family: The bacterial alpha operon ribosome binding site is surrounded by this complex pseudoknotted structure. Translation of the mRNA produces 4 ribosomal protein products, one of which (S4) acts as a translational repressor by binding to the nested pseudoknot region. Lineage: Bacteria; Pseudomonadati; Pseudomonadota; Gammaproteobacteria; Vibrionales; Vibrionaceae. The record is from RNAcentral.
UAUAGUCGCAACGUAUCCUCAUCGGGCUUUGUUGCGGCUCUUCUUAAGAAAAAGUACUAGGAGUGAAUAGUGGCCCGUAUAGCAGGCAUUAACAUUCCUGAUCAUAAAC